GACGAACGCUGGCGGCGUGCCUAAUACAUGCAAGUCGAACGAACCGCGACUAGGUGCUUGCACUUGGUCAAGGUGAGUGGCGAACGGGUGAGUAACACGUGGGUAACCUACCUCAUAGUGGGGGAUAACAGUCGGAAACGACUGCUAAUACCGCAUAGGACAUAGGAUCACAUGAUCCAGUGAGCAAAGGUGGCGCAAGCUAUCGCUAAGUGAUGGACCCGCGGUGCAUUAGCUAGUUGGUAGGGUAAAGGCCUACCAAGGCGAUGAUGCAUAGCCGACCUGAGGGGGUGAUCGGCCACAUUGGAACUGAGACACGGCCCAAACUCCUACGGGAGGCAGCAGUGGGGAAUUUUCCGCAAUGGACGCAAGUCUGACGGAGCAACACCGCGUGAGUGAAGAAGGUCUUCGGAUCGUAAAGCUCUGUUGUUAGAGAAGAACAGCGCAUAGAGUAACUGUUAUGCGUGUGACGGUAUCUAACCAGAAAGCCACGGCUAACUACGUG
Molecule: ribosomal RNA, 502 nt
Filed under: uncultured bacterium
Lineage: Bacteria
Description: partial 16S ribosomal RNA
Rfam family: Bacterial small subunit ribosomal RNA
Source: RNAcentral